GACGAACGCUGGCGGCGUGCUUAACACAUGCAAGUCGAGCGGUAAGGCCCUUUCGGGGGUACACGAGCGGCGAACGGGUGAGUAACACGUGGGUGACCUGCCCUCAGCUCUGGGAUAAGCCCGGGAAACUGGGUCUAAUACCGGAUAUGACUUCAUGACGCAUGUUGUGGAGUGGAAAGCCUUGUGCGGCUGAGGAUGGGCCCGCGGCCUAUCAGCUUGUUGGUGGGGUGANGGCCUACCAAGGCGAUGACGGGUAGCCGGCCUGAGAGGGCGACCGGCCACACUGGGACUGAGAUACGGUCCAGACUCCUACGGGAGGCAGCAGUGGGGAAUAUUGGGCAAUGGAGGCAACUCUGACCCAGCCAUGCCGCGUGGGUGACGAAGGUCUUCGGAUUGUAAAGCCCUUUCGGCGGAGACGAUGAUGACGGUAUCCGCAGAAG
Molecule: ribosomal RNA, 440 nt
Filed under: uncultured bacterium
Lineage: Bacteria
Description: bacterial SSU rRNA
Rfam family: Bacterial small subunit ribosomal RNA
Source: RNAcentral